GGGGAGCAUGGUCCCUCCUAGGGAUGUCCGCCUAAGUUUAUACACACCUAGUACUACAGAGCACAAUGCUAUUCCAAGCAAAAAGAGAAGAGCCCAUCUCCUCGCGCUGGCCCCACCAUUACCUGUGCCCGUGCCAAGGAUGGAAACGGGGGGAGGUCCGUGCAGAAGAAGAGAAAUGGUGGGGAAUGGCGGCGAAGGUGAGGACAAAGUGGGGCAGGGACAGGGGGGACUGUUCCUAUUGAUAC
RNAcentral lists this long non-coding RNA (245 nucleotides) under Physcomitrium patens. RNAcentral describes it as "long non-coding RNA (PPAT_LNC003369)". Lineage: Eukaryota; Viridiplantae; Streptophyta; Bryopsida; Funariales; Funariaceae. The record is from RNAcentral.